RNAcentral lists this unclassified non-coding RNA (243 nucleotides) under uncultured Helotiales. RNAcentral describes it as "sequence contains ITS2". The stretch from base 1 to 52 matches the Rfam family "5.8S ribosomal RNA", at positions 103 to 154 of the family's 154-position model. The record is from RNAcentral. Lineage: Eukaryota; Fungi; Ascomycota; Leotiomycetes; Helotiales.
AACGCACAUUGCGCCCUCUGGUAUUCCGGGGGGCAUGCCUGUUCGAGCGUCAUUAUAACCACUCAAGCUCUCGCUUGGUAUUGGGGUUCGCGGUUUCGCGGCUCCUAAAAUCAGUGGCGGUGCCUAUCGGCUCUACGCGUAGUAAUACUCCUCGCGAUUGAGUCCGGUAGGUCUACUUGCCAGCAACCCCUAAUUUUUUUUAAGGUUGACCUCGGAUCAGGUAGGGAUACCCGCUGAACUUAA